UACGUAGGGGGCAAGCGUUAUCCGGAUUUAUUGGGUUUAAAGGGUGCGUAGGCGGAUCGUCAAGUCAGUGGUCAAAUUGAGGGGCUCAACCCCUUCCCGCCAUUGAAACUGGCGAUCUUGAGUGGAAGAGAAGUAUGCGGAAUGCGUGGUGUAGCGGUGAAAUGCAUAGAUAUCACGCAGAACCCCGAUUGCGAAGGCAGCAUGCCGGCUUCCGACUGACGCUGAAGCACGAAAGCGUGGGGAUCGAACAGG
RNAcentral lists this ribosomal RNA (252 nucleotides) under uncultured bacterium. RNAcentral's name for it is "partial 16S ribosomal RNA". It matches the Rfam family "Bacterial small subunit ribosomal RNA", at positions 524 to 776 of the family's 1533-position model. The record is from RNAcentral.